GAUGAACGCUGGCGGCGUGCCUAAUACAUGCAAGUCGAGCGAACGGACGAGAAGCUUGCUUCUCUGAUGUUAGCGGCGGACGGGUGAGUAACACGUGGAUAACCUACCUAUAAGACUGGGAUAACUUCGGGAAACCGGAGCUAAUACCGGAUAAUAUUUUGAACCGCAUGGUUCAAGAGUGAAAGACGGUCUUGCUGUCACUUAUAGAUGGAUCCGCGCUGCAUUAGCUAGUUGGUAAGGUAACGGCUUACCAAGGCAACGAUGCAUAGCCGACCUGAGAGGGUGAUCGGCCACACUGGAACUGAGACACGGUCCAGACUCCUACGGGAGGCAGCAGUAGGGAAUCUUCCGCAAAGGGCGAAAGCCUGACGGAGCAACGCCGCGUGAGUGAUGAAGGUCUUCGGAUCGUAAAACUCUAUUAUUAGGGAAGAACAUAUGUGUAAGUAACUGUGCACAUCUUGACGGUACCUAAUCAGAAAGCCACGGCUAACUACGUG
This 497-nucleotide ribosomal RNA is filed under the name uncultured bacterium. RNAcentral's name for it is "partial 16S ribosomal RNA". It matches the Rfam family "Bacterial small subunit ribosomal RNA", at positions 28 to 507 of the family's 1533-position model. The record is from RNAcentral.